GUGGGGAAUCUUCCGCAAUGGACGAAAGUCUGGCGGAGCGACGCCGCGUGAGUGAAGAAGGCCUUCGGGUCGUAAAGCUCUGUCAUCAGGGACGAACGGCCGGUGGAGUGGAAAGCCACCGGAUUGACGGUACCUGAGAAGGAAGCCACGGCUAACUACGUGCCAGCAGCCGCGGUAAUACGUAGGUGGCAAGCGUUGUCCGGAAUUAUUGGGCGUAAAGCGCGCGCAGGUGGGAUCUUAAGUCCAUUUUUAAAGUUCGGAGCUCAACUCCGUGAUGGGAUGGAAACUGGGAUUCUUGAGUACCGGAGAGGAAAGCGGAAUUCCCCGUGUAGCGGUGAAAUGCGUAGAUAUGGGGAGGAACACCAGUGGCGAAGGCGGCUUUCUGGACGGUGUCUGACACUGAGGCGCGAAAGCCAGGGGAGCGAACGGGAUUAGAUACCCCAGUAGUCC
This 450-nucleotide ribosomal RNA is filed under the name uncultured bacterium. Its description in RNAcentral is "partial 16S ribosomal RNA". It matches the Rfam family "Bacterial small subunit ribosomal RNA", at positions 354 to 796 of the family's 1533-position model. The record is from RNAcentral.